UGUCUGGACAAGGAGGCCUCGGCACUGGUGUAGGUUUUCUGAGAGUGAACCCAGUCCAUUUUCUUUGACAGUGGAACUGAUUCAGUGUUGCUGAAGUGAAUGUCUUCAUCAGUGGGGCUGUCCCUGGCCAUCCUGUCAGUGCCUUCAGAGGUUCUUGCAACAAGACAGCCCUUUCCAGCAGCUCCUCUACUGAAAGCAGUGAAAGAAAUUAUACAACAAUCGAGACUUCUGCAAAACCAGAGGUUCUUUUUGGCUGGAACCACAAGGGAGUGAAGAAGCUCAACUCAGAGCAAAGCAUUUCGGCAGCAUCAGCAUAAAAUCCAAAUAUACCUUCUAACUUGCCAUUCUAGGUUUUAGAAAAAGCAUCUGGCAAUAAAUCUUACCUGUAUUGAAUGUGAAUCUUGUUGUGCCUCCUCUGCUUACACCAAGGGGCACAAUGCUAAAGGUAAGAUGUGGUAGAUGCAGCUUCUCUCCUCUCAAAACCUUUCA
Parus major (Great Tit) is the source of this 489-nucleotide long non-coding RNA. RefSeq lists it as uncharacterized. The record is from RefSeq and is a predicted model, not a curated record. Lineage: Eukaryota; Metazoa; Chordata; Aves; Passeriformes; Paridae. The transcript has 3 exons.